CCCAAAACGUAUCUAAUAUUUCUUCACGAUCGUGUGCGUGAUUCCACGAAGUGCAAAAAGUCGCCCAUGUUUUGCUGGCCAUACACCAACGCCGACGACGGUGACCCACCACAGAAGAUGGCGCGCAGAAUAUCAACUAAUCGAUCGAAUUACAACUGGACAAUAGGCAAAAAAGACGUCUUUAAAUUUGGUUGUCGAAAUACGAACCACGCGGUGGUAGUGCUCGAAAAGCUUGCCCAAAAAUCCACCAAGUAUUGAUUUCCGGAACGAUGCACCCGUGUCCACCAGGGUCGCAAUGGUGGUGUAAUUUUUGGGUUUUCGUAUGUCGAUCGAGCGUAUAAAAUUCAAUGCUGAAAACAAUGAAAACUGAACUCUCGUGUUUGGCCACGAGCAUCGUGUUGCAUAGCACGUCUUUUCGGUGCAGAUAGAACGGAGUGUAAGGUGUCCCAAUAGUGCAUCCCAUGUAUGCUGGCGCCAUUAGCCUAUGGUAGGGAUUGAUAGAACACAAAUAGAGGCGUGAGAUGAUACGCAAUCGCGGCUAUUGGCAGGAUGCAUUCGCAUUCGAGUGGGUGAAACUUUCCGUGAAAU
This is a long non-coding RNA of Anopheles funestus (African malaria mosquito), 588 nucleotides long. RefSeq lists it as uncharacterized. Lineage: Eukaryota; Metazoa; Arthropoda; Insecta; Diptera; Culicidae. The transcript is spliced from 3 exons. The record is from RefSeq and is a predicted model, not a curated record.